AGACCUACAAAGUAAAACCGGAAACACAUUGACUGUUUUACAACACAAAACGCAGGGACCCGAACGGAGCACAGAGCGGAGACACAGAUGUUCCAGGCUGACAAGAAGAGGAAUGAAGAAACAGAAAAAACUCAAAAAGUUGAUAAACCAGCUCGAGGACGAGAAGAAGAAAACUGAGAAAAAUCUCAAUGAGCUGGUAAAGAUGCUCAAGAACAAGAAGAAGAAAAACUGAGGAAAAACUAAAAGAGGAGAUCCACAGCAGCCGUCAAGCAGCCACAACAGCUCCACCAUCAUAUACGGGAAGGAUAUAUUAUCAAAGUCACUAUUAAUACUAAGGACUGGAGUGCUUGAGGUCAAAGCACUUAAUGAUGGAGAAACUUGAUGUCAGUUAUGUCACU
This is a long non-coding RNA of Oreochromis aureus, 398 nucleotides long. RefSeq lists it as uncharacterized. The record is from RefSeq and is a predicted model, not a curated record. NCBI's taxonomy places the organism in Eukaryota, Metazoa, Chordata, Actinopteri, Cichliformes, Cichlidae. The transcript is spliced from 5 exons.